UACAGAGGGUGCAAGCGUUGUUCGGAAUUAUUGGGCGUAAAGGGCGCGUAGGCGGUUCGGCAAGUCUCUAGUGAAAUCUCUGGGCUCAACUCAGAGUCUGCUGGGGAAACUGCCGGGCUUGAGUGUGGGAGAGGAGAGUGGAAUUCCCGGUGUAGCGGUGAAAUGCGUAGAGAUCAGCAGGAACACCCGUGGCGAAGGCGGCCUCCUGGGCCGCGCCUGACGCUGAGACGCGAAAGCGUGGGGAGCGAACGGU
RNAcentral lists this ribosomal RNA (253 nucleotides) under uncultured bacterium. RNAcentral's name for it is "partial 16S ribosomal RNA". It matches the Rfam family "Bacterial small subunit ribosomal RNA", at positions 524 to 776 of the family's 1533-position model. The record is from RNAcentral.